UACGUAGGUGGCAAGCGUUGUCCGGAAUUAUUGGGCGUAAAGCGCGCGCAGGCGGUUAUGUAAGGCUGAUGUUAAAACCCGGGGCUCAACCUCGGUUCGCAUUGGAAACAGCGUAACUUGAGUGCAGAAGAGGAAAGUGGUAUUCCACGUGUAGCGGUGAAAUGCGUAGAUAUGUGGAGGAACACCAGUGGCGAAGGCGACUUUCUGGUCUGUAAAUGACGCUGAGGCGCGAAAGCGUGGGGAGCAAACAGG
RNAcentral lists this ribosomal RNA (252 nucleotides) under uncultured bacterium. Its description in RNAcentral is "partial 16S ribosomal RNA". It matches the Rfam family "Bacterial small subunit ribosomal RNA", at positions 524 to 776 of the family's 1533-position model. The record is from RNAcentral.